This 362-nucleotide ribosomal RNA is filed under the name Ecclisopteryx madida. Its description in RNAcentral is "partial 16S ribosomal RNA". Lineage: Eukaryota; Metazoa; Arthropoda; Insecta; Trichoptera; Limnephilidae. The record is from RNAcentral.
AUAAUAAUUAGGUUUUUAAUUGAAAUCUAGAAUGAAUGAUUGGACGAGAUACAGGCUGUUUUAUAGUAAUUAAUUAAAACUUAAUUUUUUAGUCAAAAAGCUAAAAUUUUAUUAAAAGACGAGAAGACCCUAUAAAUCUUUAUAAUAAAUUUAUUUUAAUAAAUUAUUUUAUUUAAAUUAAUUGUUUUAAUAAUAAAUUAUUUUAUUGGGGUGAUACAAAAAUUUAAUUAACUUUUUUAUUAGAAUUUCUUAAAUUAAAGAUUUAUAAAAAUAUGAUCUACUAUUAGUAAUUCAGAGAAUAAGAUACUUUAGGGAUAACAGCGUAAUUUUAAUUUUAAGUUCUUAUUAAAAUUAAAGAUUGC